RNAcentral lists this ribosomal RNA (496 nucleotides) under uncultured bacterium. Its description in RNAcentral is "bacterial SSU rRNA". It matches the Rfam family "Bacterial small subunit ribosomal RNA", at positions 30 to 521 of the family's 1533-position model. The record is from RNAcentral.
AUUGAACGCUGGCGGCAUGCCUUACACAUGCAAGUCGAACGGUAACAGGUCUUCGGAUGCUGACGAGUGGCGAACGGGUGAGUAAUACAUCGGAACGUGCCCGAUCGUGGGGGAUAACGGAGCGAAAGCUUUGCUAAUACAGCAUACGAUCUACGGAUGAAAGCAGGGGACCGCAAGGCCUUACGCGGACGGAGCGGCCGAUGGCAGAUUAGGUAGUUGGUGGGAUAAAAGCUUACCAAGCCGACGAUCUGUAGCUGGUCUGAGAGGACGACCAGCCACACUGGGACUGAGACACGGCCCAGACUCCUACGGGAGGCAGCAGUGGGGAAUUUUGGACAAUGGGCGAAAGCCUGAUCCAGCCAUGCCGCGUGCAGGAUGAAGGCCUUCGGGUUGUAAACUGCUUUUGUACGGAACGAAAGACUCCUUCUAAUAAAGGGAGUCCAUGACGGUACCGUAAGAAUAAGCACCGGCUAACUACGUCGCCAGCAGCCGCGGU